UACGUAGGGGGCAAGCGUUGUCCGGAAUCAUUGGGCGUAAAGCGCGUGUAGGCGGCCCGGUAAGUCCGCUGUGAAAGUCGGGGGCUCAACCCUCGAAUGCCGGUGGAUACUGUCGGGCUAGAGUGCGGAAGAGGCGAGUGGAAUUCCUGGUGUAGCGGUGAAAUGCGCAGAUAUCAGGAGGAACACCGAUGGCGAAGGCAGUUCUCUGGGCCGUAACUGACGCUGGAGGAGCGGAAAGACAUGGGGAGCGAACAGG
Molecule: ribosomal RNA, 256 nt
Filed under: uncultured bacterium
Lineage: Bacteria
Description: partial 16S ribosomal RNA
Rfam family: Bacterial small subunit ribosomal RNA
Source: RNAcentral